AUACACAAGUGUAGCUCCCCUCUGCAAUAAAUGAAAUAGCAUAAAUGCAAGACAUGCAUUAGAUGUUUGUUAUGGACGCAUUUGUAGGCAAGACUUAUGCAGGACGUGAUCCACAAGAAAUUCCAAUCAAUGGUGAUAAGAAUGGCAAAAAAUAAAUUAGUAUCAAAGGUGAAUUCAGCAGCAACAACAACUAAUUAUUAAUAGAAAUACAUAUCCGCUUAAGAUAUUAUUAUGAUUGCCAUUAUCUUAAAUUAUGGCUUUAAAUGUUGGUUUUCAAUAGUAGAAAAUUCUAUAUGAAAUCAUGUAAUAAUCUUUUUAUAAGGAGAUCAUAUUAUAAAUAAAAUAUCAAGUAGAAUUAUUUUCAACUAUAUUGAGAUUUGGACUCUCUCUUAUUUAAUAAGUCUAAGGUUAGAGUUUUCUUUUAACGAGUUUACGUUUUCA
This 441-nucleotide unclassified non-coding RNA is filed under the name Hevea brasiliensis (rubber tree). The record is from RNAcentral. Lineage: Eukaryota; Viridiplantae; Streptophyta; Magnoliopsida; Malpighiales; Euphorbiaceae.